UACGGAGGAUCCAAGCGUUAUCCGGAUUUAUUGGGUUUAAAGGGUGCGUAGGCGGCUUUUUAAGUCAGGGGUGAAAGACGGUGGCUCAACCAUCGCAGUGCCCUUGAUACUGAAGAGCUUGAAUGAACUAGAGGUAGGCGGAAUGUGACAAGUAGCGGUGAAAUGCAUAGAUAUGUCACAGAACACCGAUUGCGAAGGCAGCUUACUAUGGUUUAAUUGACGCUGAGGCACGAAAGCGUGGGGAUCAAACAGG
RNAcentral lists this ribosomal RNA (253 nucleotides) under uncultured bacterium. Its description in RNAcentral is "partial 16S ribosomal RNA". It matches the Rfam family "Bacterial small subunit ribosomal RNA", at positions 524 to 776 of the family's 1533-position model. The record is from RNAcentral.